UCAUUACUGAGUGCGGGCUGCCUUCGGGCGCCCAACCUCCCACCCGUGACUACCUAACACUGUUGCUUCGGCGGGGAGCCCUCUCGGGGGCGAGCCGCCGGGGACUACUGAACUUCAUGCCUGAGAGUGAUGCAGUCUGAGUCUGAAUAUAAAAUCAGUCAAAACUUUCAACAAUGGAUCUCUUGGUUCCGGCAUCGAUGAAGAACGCAGCGAACUGCGAUAAGUAAUGUGAAUUGCAGAAUUCAGUGAAUCAUCGAGUCUUUGAACGCACAUUGCGCCCCCUGGCAUUCCGGGGGGCAUGCCUGUCCGAGCGUCAUUGCUGCCCAUCAAGCCCGGCUUGUGUGUUGGGUCGUCGUCCCCCCCGGGGGACGGGCCCGAAAGGCAGCGGCGGCACCGUGUCCGGUCCUCGAGCGUAUGGGGCUUUGUCACCCGCUCGAUUUAGGGCCGGCCGGGCGCCAGCCGACGUCCAACCAUUUUUCUUCAGGUUGACCUCGGAUCAGGUAGGGAUACCCGCUGAACUUAAACAUAUCAAUAAGCGGAGGGA
Molecule: ribosomal RNA, 544 nt
Filed under: Aspergillus sp. GP3
Lineage: Eukaryota; Fungi; Ascomycota; Eurotiomycetes; Eurotiales; Aspergillaceae
Description: partial 18S ribosomal RNA
Rfam family: 5.8S ribosomal RNA (bases 163-316)
Source: RNAcentral